This 425-nucleotide unclassified non-coding RNA is filed under the name Hevea brasiliensis (rubber tree). Lineage: Eukaryota; Viridiplantae; Streptophyta; Magnoliopsida; Malpighiales; Euphorbiaceae. The record is from RNAcentral.
GCGACAUACUGAAGGGGUCAAGGAUCAGUGAAGCAGAGUUGGUCAAGACUUUGGAACAAUAUGGUUUACUUAUACUACCAGAAGGCCCACUGAGAGUCAGAUUUGUUCUACACCACCAGAUUUCAGAAAGUGAUGUACACUAUGCAGUGUCUUGCAUUCAGCGAGCUUUAGCAGGAGUGGCUGAAGAAAAUGGUGACAAGUAACCGGAUAAACGGUUUCAGACAUGAUCUCUUUCUGUUAGAAACUGUUCCAAAUGUUUACAUGGGAGAGAGACCAGUUUCAUUUUCAAAUUUUAGUCAAAUCUUUAAACUUCUCAUUUCAUGUCCUUUUAAUGAUCAAAAGACUUUGUUUGUUCUUCAUAUGUUUGUUGUUGGACUAGUUUGUCCUAAUGAUUUAGUAAGAAAUGAAUGUUGGCUCAUAUGGAG